RNAcentral lists this ribosomal RNA (524 nucleotides) under Haplomalachius hispanus. RNAcentral describes it as "partial 16S ribosomal RNA". The stretch from base 388 to 524 matches the Rfam family "Bacterial large subunit ribosomal RNA", at positions 2473 to 2610 of the family's 2925-position model. Lineage: Eukaryota; Metazoa; Arthropoda; Insecta; Coleoptera; Melyridae. The record is from RNAcentral.
CAUGUCCUUUUGAUUAUAAUUUAAGGUCUAAUCUGCCCACUGAAAUUUUAAAUGGCCGCAGUAAUUUGACUGUGCUAAGGUAGCAUAAUCAUUAGUUUUUUAAUUGAAAGCUGGAAUGAAUGAUUGGAUGAAAUAAAAGCUGUCUCAAAUUUAUUAAAAUAGAAUUUUAUUUUUAAGUUAAAAAGCUUAAAUAUUAUUAAAAGACGAGAAGACCCUAUAGAGUUUUAUAUAGCUAAUUAUAUUUAAGUUAUUAUUUUAAAAAUUUUAUUUAAUUAUCUAUAUUUUAUUGGGGUGAUAGAAAAAUUUACUAAACUUUUUUUUUUGUAAAACAUUUAUAAAUGAUUAAUUGAUCCAUUAUUAAUGAUUAUAAGUUUAAAUUACCUUAGGGAUAACAGCGUAAUUUUUUUUGAGAGUUCAAAUCGAAAAAAGAGAUUGCGACCUCGAUGUUGGAUUAAAGUUUAAUUUUGGUGUAGAAGCUAAAAAUUUAAGUCUGUUCGACUUUUAAAACUUUACAUGAUCUGAGU